RNA transcript from Lolium perenne, 2532 nucleotides. RefSeq lists it as uncharacterized. The record is from RefSeq and is a predicted model, not a curated record. Lineage: Eukaryota; Viridiplantae; Streptophyta; Magnoliopsida; Poales; Poaceae.
ACUUCUAUAAAUGUUCCUAGACUACCCGGCCAACCAGCCAUCCAAAAGGGGCAAACCUUCGUCCAUCGUUGGAUUGGAUUGCUGCAGUGAUUCUCCAAUCCCACUUUUCACCACAGCCGUCCGAUCUGUCAUUUUUUUUCUCACUCGCUCAGCAUUCCCAUGAAGUCCAUGACGCAUGGGGCCAACUACGUGCAAGGCCCGACGGUCAGAGACAGCCACGGAUGCUCGUUCUCGUCGCCUUCGGUCUCCAACCACGCAGGAUGGUGAAAACCUAGAUCGGGAGUGCCCGAUUCACUCCCCAAUCCCCGUCCAUCCGCUCCUCCCCAAUCCCAUCUCUCCUCCUCCCCAACCAUGGCGGCGCGCUCGUUCCUCCAGCCUUCCACCCGCGGCUGCAUCCCGACGACAGCGGUUGGAUGGCGACUGUCAGGGGUGGCGGACGACAUUGUGUGCCGAUUGAGGGCAGCACGGAGAAGAAGCAGCGGGGGCGGCGCGGAGAAGAAGCAGCAGGGCGGCGACCCCACGACCUCCAGCAUCCUCACCUCCUCAAGCCCCCGUUAUAACGCCGAGAGUGGCGGUGGUGCGGCGCUGCGAGCACGAGAAGGUCGUCCACAGCCGGCCAGGGCUCGAGAUCUGGCGGAUCGAGGGCUGCAGCAGCGGUGGGAUCGAUAUAGGUGGUGGUGGAGGCCGCUUCCUCUCCUCCUCCCCCAAUUCUUCCACUCCUAAAGGCGGUGGUGGAGGCUCGCCGGACCCAGACGGCCGACAUGCCUAGGAGACGCGGGUUCGCUCAGCUGCAAGGAACUAGGCAGUAGGUGUGAGUCAAGGAUGGUGGCGAGCAGCAGCGGCGGAGGGCGAUGACACGCCUCCCCCUCUCCUCUCCUAGGUCGCCCCCAUCCAUCUCGCCUUCUCUCAUUCCGACCAAGAUCAAAGGCUCCCUCUCGAUCUCUCUCCUCUUGGUGUUCAGCGGCACAAGGCAUUGGAGGAGGACGGCCAGGAGGUGGUUGCUGCUUCCCUAGAAUCCAUGAGGAAGCUAGAGCUCCUAGCCCCCCUUUGCUACAGACCUAGGUUAAAAAGGCGCUGGCUAGCUAACUGUUCUUUCAAGCUGGUAAACCAUAUGUGGUGGUUCGAAGCUUUUAUUGCAUACUCGUUGGUGUCGGCAACCAUAUCUCCAUCUCCCUUCAUGGUGGUCGCCCCUCCAUGGUGCCCAGCUGCAGGCCUGGAUGUGGAGGAGGAGCAGGAUGUCCGGGAGAAAGCGAGCAUGCCGGUGGCGGCUUGAGUGAUGCAGGCGUCGGUAGUGUCCAUCCCGGUUCUGGGGAAUUGAUUUGGGCAACUCUUGAAGUUUGGUUCUCACAUAUUGGCCCUCAAAGAUAAUGUUUGUGCAAGUGGCCAAUUGAUGUUAUGCUUAUUUGAAAGUCAUAAGGAAGUCGGUGAUGAAGGAGCUGACCACCAUCGAAUGCGUCGGUUGCUAUCCAAUCCAUGUAUAUUGCAAGCCUGGUAUGAUGGGUGGCCAGAUGGGGUUUGAGACAAGAGGCCAGGCUUGCAGUCGUAGUGAAAAUAGUAGCAUCUAGCUGAAUAUGCACCGCUCACUGACAUGCCUAUAACCAUUGGGAAAUGAACUUAUUACCUCUGUUUAAUUUAAUGGCAUAUUAAACAUGGUGCAGAUUGUGGACCGUGAUGUUUUGUUAUCAACAGUACGAUGGUGGCCAAAUGGGGUUUGACACAAGGGGCAAGGCUGGAUGGAGCUUCCAGGCCUCUGGUUUGGCGGUGGCAUGCGACUAUCAUAUAGGAAGUGGUUACCAUAUCCUUUUGAAAGAUGCAGCGGGCAAAAAUUAAGUUGUUGGUGUUGCCUACACUUCUUGACCGUCUAUCAAGGUUCUUAGCAAGCACUUCCUCUCAAAUGCUUCCAAGAAUUCAGGCUAAAGAAGCUACAGAAUCAGCUUUUAAGGAUGGAAAACAGCUAUUGGCAGCUCUGAGGUAGUAGUGUAUGCCGAUUUUGUAAUUGCCUUCAAACUGAAGUGGCGGUCCUGUACUUGUAGUGCUUGUGGAGGUGGCCAAGACCAUGUACCACAUUAUUGUCUUCAUGGCACUCGAUCGGAAAUUACGCAUGGGGCUGAUCCUCGCCUCGGUGGUUAGAGUGAUUCUAUCUCGCAUGAUGAUUCCAGUAACUGGCACUGCAAAGAGAACAGAAACCCAUCUCCACGGCAUGAAGACUGGUGAGCUGGGAAAUGCUCCAUGUUGAAAUUGAAACUUUUGAUUCCCGGUUCCUGAUACGCCCACUUAGGAGCUGAGCUUGGAGUGAUGCGAAGUCUUUCUGCCGUUGAUUAUUUUCAAGGUGUUCAUUUUGCCCCACAGCUGGCUGCGCAGUUUAUAUGCAAAUACCUAUGGGAGCCAGCAACUUCAGAGUAUUGCUGACUCUGUAUCAGUUAGGGUGGCCAGCUACUGGGCCUGUGGUUAAUGGAAUUAUAGUUCUUCUGUACAAUUUUUUUGUAAAAAAGCGGGAAAUUGACUAUAAUCAUUAUGUAAUUUGUUUCAUUC